UACGAAGGGUGCAAGCGUUACUCGGAAUUACUGGGCGUAAAGGGUGCGUAGGUGGUUCUUUAAGUCUGCUGUGAAAUCCCCGGGCUCAACCUGGGAACUGCAUUUGUGACUGCAUAGCUAGAGUACGGUAGAGGGGGAUGGAAUUCCGCGUGUAGCAGUGAAAUGCGUAGAUAUGCGGAGGAACACCGAUGGCGAAGGCAAUCCCCUGGACCUGUACUGACGCUCAUGCACGAAAGCGUGGGGAGCAAACAGG
RNAcentral lists this ribosomal RNA (253 nucleotides) under uncultured bacterium. RNAcentral's name for it is "partial 16S ribosomal RNA". It matches the Rfam family "Bacterial small subunit ribosomal RNA", at positions 524 to 776 of the family's 1533-position model. The record is from RNAcentral.